CCUUAUGAUGCUCUUUGAUUAACUUUCGUUCUUCCGCAAUGACUUAAUUGUCAUGGGGUCAACUUUUUUAUUUUACUGAAG
RNAcentral lists this small nucleolar RNA (81 nucleotides) under Schizosaccharomyces pombe (fission yeast). RNAcentral describes it as "small nucleolar RNA snR54 (predicted)". Lineage: Eukaryota; Fungi; Ascomycota; Schizosaccharomycetes; Schizosaccharomycetales; Schizosaccharomycetaceae. The record is from RNAcentral.